UUUCAGGCUUCACUAGAAGCCAUUCAUCACUUAUUGUAGAUGAGUCU
Molecule: non-coding RNA, 47 nt
Organism: Plasmodium inui San Antonio 1
Lineage: Eukaryota; Apicomplexa; Aconoidasida; Haemosporida; Plasmodiidae
Source: Rfam